CUGGAUUAAAAAACAACAACUUUAAAACAUGAUUUGUCCUCAAUGAACAUAUAUUUGGUAUUGCACAAUGAACAUAUAUUUGGUAAUAACACAAAAAUCACAUGAGGUGAAUAAUCAUUGGUAACCAGGAAAAAUUUGUAUAAUUGUGUGCGCUGCAGCGAUGCAAAGUCCAGUUCAGAGUUAUUGCAUUGGUGGAUAAUAUGAAUAACAGAUUGAUUAAGUGAGAUCAACAUUAGCACAAAAACAGGGCAGAGCAACAUGACAAACAAGGAAAAGGGCAUAUGAGGCAAAGAAUCCCUUUUAACCAGAAAAUGUGUAUAAUUGAGUGUGCUGCAUCAAUGCAAAGUCCAGUUCACAGUUAUUGCAAUUGUUGGAUAAUGUUAAGUGGGUGGAUAAAGUGAGAGAGCAUUCACAUCACAAAACUGGGAUUAAACCACAUGGAUUACUUCUACGUUAUCAAUGCUCUGAAGCUUGAAAGUUUAGGAUGAACAGAUAGCAAUGCGUUUCCUUAGUUUUGUUGAGGUUAGCGCUUUGGGAUGUUUGAGGUCAUCACAUUCAUUCACAAACUGCCUAAUGCAAUCAGAACCCCUCAAGUAAUGGACAGAGAGCGGCAAUGCAAACAAGUAUCCGUUUUCACUCAGUACUCCACAUUCUUCUCGCUUUUCAGUCAGAGUAUCGAUCGAUUCUCUCAUGACCGGGGUAAGGAGAACAGGGACUUUCCUCCCUCUCUUUCCUACUAUGGCAAUCCGAACAAAAUGUUUGCAAAGCUUCUGCUCGAGUGCUGUAAGGGCUAAGUUAACAUCUUCGUGCGUUUCUGAUGUAUCCUUUGACAUGAACGCCGACAAGGACAUUCGGGAUACUUCUCCUGCUCUUCGUCGGUUGAAGAGGAUAACUUGCGCCAGGGUCACUUUAGCAAGGUCCUUCCAGUUCAAGGGAGAAGGCUCUUCUUGCAGGGCAUUCAAUUGCUUCUGCUGUUUCUCAGACAAAUAGCAAUGCAGUCUUUGGACAUCCUGUGUGAAUGGUAGAAUCUGAGGAGAAUUCCACUUGGUCUGGUUAAGCUGAGUUAGCGCUUGACUUGCAAUGUCAAAUUUCCAACUUUCUUGGUAUAGCAGUGCAAAUUCCUCAGCAUCUUUGGCAGUCUGUUGAUCUUUCAUCUUCAAUCCUUCAGAUUUGAUAAACAUGGCUAAAGCAUGCAAGCCAUGUCCAACUUUGCGAGCUAGAGACGGACGUUUAUAUUUGCCAGUUUCACCACUGAAUCCAGCAAGGCAUCUUGCAGCCGAGACAACAUGAGUGUACUUUUCAGGCUUUAUGAGUUCUUUGAUAGUCUUCACAUGUGUCAACUUUUUUGCUUCCAGUACCAGUCUGCCAAGCUCUCUCAGUUUUUGUCGAAUAUAUUGGUGCUGGCUGAUUACAUACUCAUUCUUUCUGAACUGUCUGUAACCAUACUCAAGAAUGCAGCGGUCUUCCUUAAUAGCAACUGCAACCUCAUCCUGAUUCAUACCACUUAAGAACUUCCAGUACGCGUCGCUAAAUCCACUUGGAGCAGGUUCAGCAAAUGCACACAAAGCUUGAACUCUUGUUUUACCUCGUUUAGAUGUCUUACCCUGAGGCUUGAAAUUACAGACCUGAAAAUGACGCCACAUCGCUCUUUUUCGGAACAUUCCAUAGCAGUAAACACAGUGCAUGAAUUCUUGUCCAUCUGUCAUUUUCUUUGGCUGCUUCCAUGGGAUAAGUUUGCCUUUGCGACUCUCCAAAACUUGAGUGUUGUGUUCAAAGUUACCCUUGUUUCUGAGAAAAUCCAACUGUCGUCGCCUUUCUUUUGAAUUCUUUGGCAAGCUUAAUGCCUUUGCGACCUCAACCACAUCGCUGUGUCUACGCGACAAGUGUCUGGACAUUUUCUGAACUACCUGUCCACAAUACAAGCAAUGAUGUUUUUUAUUAUAUCUUCUGGAACCAUCCUCCUUCUUUAAAACUGGAUUAACAAAGACCGAUGGCUCUUCUUCAGGUGGCAUUGAAACACUUGUCUCCUUGUGUCUUCCUUCUUCUAGGCUAUCAGGAAAUCUUUGUGCCGAGUCAUGACUUGUUUCAAAUCUUCUGCUCUGACUGGACUUAAAUCGGCUCUGACUUGAAGACUCACUUUUGUUCUGACUGGACUUAAAUCGGCUCUGACUUGAAGACUCACUUUUGUUCUGACUGGACUUAAAUCGGCUCUGACUUGAAGACUUGUUUCUGCACUGACUAAUGGAUGACAUUUUGACAUUCUUUUUUUUAUUUUCCAGGGAUAACUCCAAGCUGCAGUCACUGUCAUUGCUUUCCUCCCUGGGAUUUGGAAUAUAAUCAUCUUCACUAUCAUAACAGGAGUCAUCGGAUUCUACAAGACUCCUUUGAAUCUUUCAGAAAAGAAAAGUAAUAAAGGAUUAGUCCCCCAGAAAAAGACGACAAAAAAAGAAAUUUGCUCACCUUCAUCCCAGAUGUGCAUGACUAUUGUUCAGUGACCUUUCAUAACAUGACUGAAAUAAAUACACAACUCAUUUUGACCAGCAGUUAUGGACUACUGUAAAAAACGUCUUUAACAUGAAUUUAUAAAACAGUGUUUUCUUUCAAUUGUAUCGACAUGGAUUAUCAUUAGCCAGCCUAAACGACAUGCAAGUCUUGAAAAUGUUGGUUGCCAUCGGCUUCCAUUCCAUGUCUCAAUAUCUAAAAUUUUAUUUUCUUAAACUGUACUCAUGUGAGCAAUAAAAGGUCAUGCACAUCUGGAAUGGGAUUGAGUAAUUUGAGAAUUCUUACAUUUUAAUCCUUUAGUAUGAUAAACUGACCAUUGCAUAUUGGGAUGACAUACAUUCUAUAGGGGCGUUAAGUAAAAUGUAGAGUAAGUUUAAUCAAAGUAAAUGAAAUUAGAAAUGUACUGUUGAUUACGGUUAGCCCAAGAGACUAAAAACAAGAGAAUAUAGAGAACAGAAUAAAAAGGCACACCCCUAUCAAUAUUAUUUGUAGAAACAAUUGACUGGCAUCAGGUUAAUGAGUGAGAUAACUAAAGUUACUAGUACUAUAAUUUGCCAGGAACACACUGAACAAAGAGAUUAGAGCGGCUAAAAAGACCUACGCUAAAAAGUUGGAAGACCAGUUUACUUCCAAUGACUCAACUUCAGUGUGGAGAGGACUGAGAGCCAUCACAAACUAAAACACACCGUCCCCCUGCACAGAGGCUAAUCAACGACUUGCUAACGACCUGAAUGAGUUCUAUUGUAGAUUUGAAACCCCCAACACCCAUUCUGAUCAUCUCUCUACACAACUGUUCACACCUCCUGCUCUUCAAAUCAGUGAGGAUGAUGUGCGCCAGGUCUUCAGGAAGAACAAAAGAAGAAAAGCACCAGGUCCAGAUGGCGUUACACCAGCCUGUCUGAAAACCUGUGCUGACCAGCUGGCCCCCAUCUUUUCACAGAUCUUCAACAGAUCUCUGGAGUUGUGUGAAGUGCCUUCCUGCUUCAAACGCUCCACCAUCAUCCCCGUUCCAAAGAAACCCAAGAUAACAGGACUUAACGACUACAGACCUGUGGCUCUAACGUCUGUCGUCAUGAAGUCAUUUGAAAAACUGGUUCUGGCUUAUCUGAAGGACAUCACUGGACCCUUACUGGACCCCCUGCAGUUUGCUUACCGAGCAAACAGGUCCGUGGAUGAUGCAAUCAACAUGGGAUUGCACUUCAUCCUGCAACAUCUGGACAAAACAGGGACUUAUGUGAGGAUCCUGUUUGUGGACUUUAGUUCGGCUUUCAACACCAUCAUCCCAACAGCCCUUCAGACCAACCUGACCCAGCUCUCUGUUCCUAGCUCUAUCUGUCAGUGGAUCACCAGCUUUCUGACAGAUAGGCAACAGCUAGUGAGACUGGGGAAAUUCAUGUCAAACAGCUGCUCCACCAACACUGGUGCCCCUCAGGGAUGUGUUCUCUCCCCACUGCUCUUCUCGCUGUACACCAACGACUGCACCUCCAAAGACCCCUCUGUCAAGCUCCUGAAGUUUGCUGACGACACUACAGUCAUCGGUCUCAUCCAGGUUGAGCAGCUGGCUGUCUGGUGCAGUCUUAACCUGGAGCUGAACACUCUCAAAACAGGGGAGAUGAUCGUGGACUUCAGGAGAAACCCCCCUGCACUCCCCCCACUCACCAUCAUGAACAGCACUGUGGCUGCAGUGGAGUCAUUCAGAUUCAGGACCUGAAGUGGGACAAUCACAUUGACUCCAUUGUUAAAAAGGCCCAACAAAGGUUGUACUUCCUUCGCCAGCUGAGGAAGUUUAACCUGCCACAGGAGCUGCUGAAACAGUUCUACUCAGCCGUCAUUGAGUCAGUCCUGUGCACUUCAAUUACUGUCUGGUUUGUCUCAGCUACAAAAUCAGACAUCAGAAGACUACAGAGAACGGUUCGGACUGCUGAAAGAAUUAUUGGUGCUCCCCUGCCCACCCUUCAAGAACUGUACACAUCCAGAUUACCCCAUCUUUGAACUUUUGCAAUCUGGCCGGCGCUUCAGAGCCGCAAAUACCAGGACAGUCAGGCACAAGAACAGUUUCUUCCCCCAAGCCAUCUACCUCAUGAACAUUUAAAUGUUCCCCACUUGUGCAAUACAAAUGUGCAAUAUCCUUAUAUUUAUUUGUUAUCCCUGCAUCCUAGUACAUCCCGGCAUCUUACUCAAUCCUAUUCCAUUAUCAUUUAUAGCACAAUUGUUUAUACACUUAUUUGUUUGCCUUUUUUUUGUCGUCUCUGUGUACUGGAAGCUUAUGUCACUAAAACAAAUUCCUUGUAUGCGCAAGCAUACUUGGCAAUAAAGCUCUUUCUGAUUCUGAUUUGACUAUAAACUGUAUUUAAGGCUCAAGUUUCUGGAGAUGCAAAUUUGUCUCCUCUAAUCACAUCACAGGCUAUAAAAAUAUUUUAAAUAAAAUAUUAAAAUAAAAUAAAAAUAUAUUUUAUAAAUGUUUACCUUUAUCGUUACACAAAGCUGUUAGAUCGAGGUCCAAUAUG
Molecule: long non-coding RNA, 5009 nt
Organism: Cyprinus carpio carpio
Lineage: Eukaryota; Metazoa; Chordata; Actinopteri; Cypriniformes; Cyprinidae
Source: Ensembl